This 564-nucleotide ribosomal RNA is filed under the name uncultured bacterium. RNAcentral's name for it is "bacterial SSU rRNA". It matches the Rfam family "Bacterial small subunit ribosomal RNA", at positions 338 to 916 of the family's 1533-position model. The record is from RNAcentral.
CCUACGGGAGGCAGCAGUGGGGAAUCUUGCACAAUGGGCGAAAGCCUGAUGCAGCAACGCCGCGUGCGGGAAGAAGGCCCUCGGGUUGUAAACCGCUUUCAGAAGGAACGAAACUGACGGUACUUUCAGAAGAAGGUGCGGCCAACUACGUGCCAGCAGCCGCGGUGACACGUAGGCACCAAGCGUUGUCCGGAUUUAUUGGGCGUAAAGAGCUCGUAGGCGGUUCAGUAAGUCGGGUGUGAAAACUUUGGGCUUAACCCAAAGCGUGCAUCCGACACUGCUGUGACUUGAGUACGGUAGGGGAGCGGGGAAUUCCUAGUGUAGCGGUGAAAUGCGCAGAUAUUAGGAGGAACACCGGUGGCGAAGGCGCCGCUCUGGGCCGAAACUGACGCUGAGGAGCGAAAGCAUGGGUAGCAAACAGGAUUAGAUACCCUGGUAGUCCAUGCCGUAAACGUUGGGCACUAGGUGUGGGUUCCAACCAACGGAAUCCGCGCCGUCGCUAACGCAUUAAGUGCCCCGCCUGGGGAGUACGGCCGCAAGGUUAAAACUCAAAGGAAUUGACGG